UAAGUUUGUUUAAAUUGUUAAUUUUUUUAAAAAAUUAUUUUUAAUAAAAGUAAUUUUAAAGUUUUUUGAAUUUAGUAAUUAUUUUAAAAGAUAAAUUAAUUUAAUAUAUAUGUAGUAUUGUGAAAGAAAAAAUAAAAUUAAUAUAAAUAAUUUAUUAAUUAUUUGUACCUUUUGUAUCAGGGUUUAUUAAAAUUAAUUAAUUUAUUAUUUUAUAUUCUCGAAAUAAAUUGAUUUAAUUAAUUAUUUUAAUUAAUAUUUUAUUAUUAUUAAUAAUAAUUAAUUAGAAAAUAUAUUUUUGUCAAAAUUUAAAUAUCUAGUUAUUUUAUAAAUAAAUUUAAUUUAGUAAAUAGUUAAUUUAUUGAUAUUUAUUUUAUUAAUAAAUUUUUAUUUAUAAAUAUUUUAAGGGAUAAACUUUAUAAUAAUUUUAAUAAAUUUUAGUUUAAUUACAUUUUUAAAAUAAAAUUAAAAAUUUUUAUUUUUAAAUAAUUUUUAAUAAUUAAUAAAUAAUUUGUAUAAUUUUAUUUAAUUUUAAUAUGUUAUAAAAUUAUUAUUUUAAAUAAAAUUAAAAUAAAAAAUUAUGAUAAAAUUAGUAAAUAAAUUUAUAUAAAUUUUAUUAAAUAGAUAGAUUAAAUUAAGGAAUUUGGCAAAAAUUUUUUAUUCACCUGUUUAAUAAAAACAUGGUUUUUUGAUCAUAAUUUAAAAUCUAAUCUGCUCAAUGAUUAAUUUAAUAGCUGCAGUAAUUUGACUGUACAAAGGUAGCAUAAUCAUUUGUCUUAUUAAUUAAGUCUAGAAUGAAAGAUUGAAUGAAAUAAAGUCUGUCUCAAUUUAAUUAAUUAAAUUUUAAUAUAAGUAAAAAUUCUUAUAUAUUAUUAAAAGACGAGAAGACCCUAUAGAAUUUUAUAAUUAAAUUUAAAUUAAUUUAUUAAAAAAUUUAUUUAAAUUGAUUUAUUUAGUUGGGGAUACAAAAAAAUUUAAAAAAAUUUUUUAGUUAAAUUUCAUAAAUUUAUGAAUUUUGUAUAAAUUAGUAAAGAAAUUAAAUUUAAUUACCUUAGGGAUAACAGCGUAAUAUUUUUAGAGAGUUCAUAUUAAUAAAAAAGAUUGCGACCUCGAUGUUGAAUUAAGAUAAAGAUUUAAUGAAGAAGUUAAAUAUUUAAGUCUGUUCGACUUUUAAAUUCUUACAUGAUUUGAGUUUAGAUCGGUGUGAGCCAGAUCGGAUUCUAUCUUUAAUUAACUUAAAUUUUUUUGUACGAAAGGACUAGAAAUUUUUAAUAAUUAAUUUAAUUGAAUAAAUUU
This 1293-nucleotide ribosomal RNA is filed under the name Eurytoma sp. ZJUH_2016013. Its description in RNAcentral is "16S ribosomal RNA". The record is from RNAcentral. Lineage: Eukaryota; Metazoa; Arthropoda; Insecta; Hymenoptera; Eurytomidae.